GACGAACGCUGGCGGCGUGCUUAACACAUGCAAGUCGAACGGGAUCCAAAGGCUUUUUGUUUUUGGUGAGAGUGGCGAACGGGUGAGUAACACGUGAGUAACCUGCCCCCUUCUUUUGGAUAACCGCAUGAAAGUGUGGCUAAUACAGGAUAUUCCAGGCUGGUCGCAUGAUUGGUUUGGGAAAUGGUUUGGUCUGGUGGGGGAUGGGCUCGCGGCCUAUCAGCUUGUUGGUGGGGUGAUGGCCUACCAAGGCGGUGACGGGUAGCCGGCCUGAGAGGGUGGGCGGUCACAGUGGGACUGAGAUACGGCCCAGACUCCUACGGGAGGCAGCAGUGGGGGAUUUUGCACAAUGGGCGCAAGCCUGAUGCAGCGACGCCGCGUGAGGGAUGAAGGCCUUCGGGUUGUAAACCUCUUUAGCUGGGUUGAAAGGCCAUGCUUUGGGUGUGGUUGACUGGAACUGGUAAAGAAGUACCGGCUAACUACGUG
RNAcentral lists this ribosomal RNA (486 nucleotides) under uncultured bacterium. RNAcentral describes it as "partial 16S ribosomal RNA". It matches the Rfam family "Bacterial small subunit ribosomal RNA", at positions 28 to 507 of the family's 1533-position model. The record is from RNAcentral.